RNAcentral lists this ribosomal RNA (525 nucleotides) under Hexachaeta eximia. Its description in RNAcentral is "partial small subunit ribosomal RNA". The stretch from base 393 to 525 matches the Rfam family "Bacterial large subunit ribosomal RNA", at positions 2473 to 2605 of the family's 2925-position model. The record is from RNAcentral. Lineage: Eukaryota; Metazoa; Arthropoda; Insecta; Diptera; Tephritidae.
AAACAUGUCUUUUUGAGUUAUUUAUAAAGUCUGACCUGCCCACUGAAUAAAUUUAAAUGGCCGCAGUAUUUUAACUGUGCAAAGGUAGCAUAAUCAUUAGUCUUUUAAUUGAAGGCUGGUAUGAAUGGUUGGACGAAGUAUAAACUGUUUCAUUUAAAUUUAUAGUAGAAAUUUAUAUUUUAGUUAAAAAGCUAAAAUAAUAUUAAAAGACGAGAAGACCCUAUAAAUCUUUAUUUUUUAUAUUAUUUAGAUUUUUUAGAUAUUUUUUAUUUUUAUAAUAUAAAAUAUUUUAUUGGGGUGAUAUUAAAAUUUAAUAAACUUUUAAUUAAAAAAUCAUUAAUUUAUGAAUGUUUGAUCCAUUAAUAGUGAUUAUUAGAUUAAGUUACUUUAGGGAUAACAGCGUAAUUUUUUUGGAGAGUUCAUAUCGAUAAAAAGGAUUGCGACCUCGAUGUUGGAUUAAGAUAUAUUUUUAGGUGUAGCUGCUUAAAUAUUAAGUCUGUUCGACUUUUAAAUUCUUACAUGAUC